CGGGGGGUAGCUCAGUGGCAAAGCACCAGCAGUCCACUGCUGGUGGUCGUAGGUUCAAAUCCUGCCCCACCCGACCA
This 77-nucleotide transfer RNA is filed under the name Candidatus Uhrbacteria bacterium CG_4_10_14_0_2_um_filter_41_21. Its description in RNAcentral is "tRNA-OTHER". It matches the Rfam family "tRNA". Rfam says of the family: Transfer RNA (tRNA) molecules are approximately 80 nucleotides in length. Their secondary structure includes four short double-helical elements and three loops (D, anti-codon, and T loops). RNAcentral also lists the same sequence under 4 other names. The record is from RNAcentral. Lineage: Bacteria; Candidatus Uhriibacteriota.